This 260-nucleotide ribosomal RNA is filed under the name uncultured bacterium. RNAcentral's name for it is "partial 16S ribosomal RNA". It matches the Rfam family "Bacterial small subunit ribosomal RNA", at positions 524 to 777 of the family's 1533-position model. The record is from RNAcentral.
UACGAAGGGGGCUAGCGUUGCUCGGAAUCGACUGGGACGGUAAAGGGCGCGUGAGGCGGCCAUUCAAGUCGGGGGUGAAAGCCUGUGGCUCAACCACAGAAUUGCCUUCGAAUACUGUUUGGCUUGAGUAUGGUAGAGGUCAGUGGAACUGCGAGUGUAGAGGUGAAAUUCGUAGAUAUUCGCAAGAACACCAGUGGCGAAGGCGGCUGACUGGACCAUUACUGGACGCUGAGGCGCGAAAGCGAGGGGAGCAAACAGGG